This is a non-coding RNA of Acanthosepion pharaonis, 91 nucleotides long. The record is from the annotation of a GenBank genome assembly. NCBI's taxonomy places the organism in Eukaryota, Metazoa, Mollusca, Cephalopoda, Sepiida, Sepiidae.
GCCGCAUCCCGUACGACCACCGAAAUUAAGCAACUUUAAGCCUGGCCAUUACCUAGAUGGGUGAACGCUUGGGAAUACCAGGUGCUGUAAG